Molecule: non-coding RNA, 375 nt
Organism: Stackebrandtia nassauensis DSM 44728
Lineage: Bacteria; Bacillati; Actinomycetota; Actinomycetes; Glycomycetales; Glycomycetaceae
Rfam family: transfer-messenger RNA
About the family: Bacterial tmRNA, also known as 10Sa RNA or SsrA, is named for its dual tRNA and mRNA-like properties.
Source: Rfam
GGGGCCGAUCGGUUUCGACUCCGUACGCUGAUGUAAGGGAAGCGGGUCGAGGAAGCCAGCGUCGUCUCGUUAAUCGUCGCUGGAAAACACAAAUGCGAAGACUGAAUCUCGCAGUUCCUUCGCUCUCGCUGCCUAAGCGAUAGCAGAAGGAUUGUCGGUCCGGGAGCGCGUCCGUCCCGGUCACCGGCAUUAUUUAGGACGCUUGGCGCUGAGUGGGGCCACCGGGCUCAGCGCGACACCAACGGUGGAUGGAGCCCGUCACUUCGACUUGUUCGCGUGAUCGAAGGGGCUUGAGGAAAGGCACAGCGAACUGCACCCGGAGAAGCCUUACUGAACCGGCGGAGGACCUGGGUUCGAUUCCCAGCGGCUCCACGA